RNAcentral lists this ribosomal RNA (494 nucleotides) under uncultured bacterium. RNAcentral's name for it is "partial 16S ribosomal RNA". It matches the Rfam family "Bacterial small subunit ribosomal RNA", at positions 28 to 507 of the family's 1533-position model. The record is from RNAcentral.
GACGAACGCUGGCGGCGUGCUUAACACAUGCCAGUCGAACGGAAAGGCCUGCUUUCCCUUGUGGAUUGCGGGUACUCGAGUGGCGAACGGGUGAGUAACACGUGAGUGAUCUGCCCCCAACUUGGGUAUAAGCCUGGGAAACUGGGUCUAAUUCCCGAUAGGACUGCAGGGUGGUGCCUGUGGUGGAAAACGAUUUUCUAGUGGUUGGGGAUGAGCUCGCGGCCUAUCAGCUUGUUGGUGGGGUAAUGGCCUACCAAGGCGGCGACGGGUAGCCGGCCUGGGAGGGUGGACGGCCACAUUGGGACUGAGAUACGGCCCAGACUCCUACGGGAGGCAGCAGUGGGGAAUAUUGCACAAGGGGCGGAAGCCUGAUGCAGCGACGCCGCGGGGGGGAUGACGGCCUUCGGGUUGUAAACUCCUUUCGACCGCGAGGAAGCCACCUGGUUGGAAGGGUGGUGACGGUAGUGGUAGAAGAAGCACCGGCUAACUACGUG